RNAcentral lists this ribosomal RNA (1434 nucleotides) under uncultured organism. RNAcentral describes it as "16S ribosomal RNA". It matches the Rfam family "Bacterial small subunit ribosomal RNA". The record is from RNAcentral.
UAACACAUGCAAGUCGAGGGGCAGCAUGGUCUUAGCUUGCUAAGGCCGAUGGCGACCGGCGCACGGGUGAGUAACGCGUAUCCAACCUGCCUUACACUCUUGGACAGCCUUCUGAAAGGGAGAUUAAUACAAGAUGUUAUCAUGAGUAAGCAUUUUCACAUGAUUAAAGGUUUACCGGUGUAAGAUGGGGAUGCGUUCCAUUAGAUAGUAGGCGGGGUAACGGCCCACCUAGUCUUCGAUGGAUAGGGGUUCUGAGAGGAAGGUCCCCCACAUUGGAACUGAGACACGGUCCAAACUCCUACGGGAGGCAGCAGUGAGGAAUAUUGGUCAAUGGACGAGAGUCUGAACCAGCCAAGUAGCGUGAAGGAUGAAGGUUCUAUGGAUUGUAAACUUCUUUUAUACGGGAAUAAACGAAUCCACGUGUGGAUUUUUGCAUGUACCGUAUGAAUAAGGAUCGGCUAACUCCGUGCCAGCAGCCGCGGUAAUACGGAGGAUCCGAGCGUUAUCCGGAUUUAUUGGGUUUAAAGGGAGCGUAGAUGGGUUGUUAAGUCAGUUGUGAAAGUUUGCGGCUCAACCGUAAAAUUGCAAUUGAUACUGGCAGUCUUGAGUACAGUUGAGGUAGGCGGAAUUCGUGGUGUAGCGGUGAAAUGCUUAGAUAUCACGAAGAACUCCGAUUGCGAAGGCAGCUUACUAACCUGUAACUGACAUUGAUGCUCGAAAGUGUGGGUAUCAAACAGGAUUAGAUACCCUGGUAGUCCACACGGUAAACGAUGAAUACUCGCUGUAGGCGAUAUACAGUCUGCGGCCAAGCGAAAGCAUUAAGUAUUCCACCUGGGGAGUACGCCGGCAACGGUGAAACUCAAAGGAAUUGACGGGGGCCCGCACAAGCGGAGGAACAUGUGGUUUAAUUCGAUGAUACGCGAGGAACCUUACCCGGGCUUAAAUUGCAACCGAAUAUGGCGGAAACGCUAUAGCUAGCAAUAGCGGUUGUGAAGGUGCUGCAUGGUUGUCGUCAGCUCGUGCCGUGAGGUGUCGGCUUAAGUGCCAUAACGAGCGCAACCCUUGCCGAUAGUUACUAACAGGUCAUGCUGAGGACUCUGUCGGGACUGCCAUCGUAAGAUGUGAGGAAGGUGGGGAUGACGUCAAAUCAGCACGGCCCUUACGUCCGGGGCUACACACGUGUUACAAUGGGGGGUACAGAGGGCUGCUACCACGCAAGUGGAUGCCAAUCCCAAAAACCUCUCUCAGUUCGGAUUGAAGUCUGCAACCCGACUUCAUGAAGCUGGAUUCGCUAGUAAUCGCGCAUCAGCCACGGCGCGGUGAAUACGUUCCCGGGCCUUGUACACACCGCCCGUCAAGCCAUGGGAGCCGGGGGUACCUGAAGUGCGUAACCGCAAGGAGCGCCCUAGGGUAAAACUGGUGACUGGGGCUAAG